UAUUAGGUUGGUGCAAAAGUAAUUGUGGUUUUUACCAUUGAAAGUAAUGGCAAAACCCACAAUUACGUUUGUACCAACCUAAUA
This is a non-coding RNA of Papio anubis (olive baboon), 84 nucleotides long. The record is from Rfam. Lineage: Eukaryota; Metazoa; Chordata; Mammalia; Primates; Cercopithecidae.